MicroRNA precursor from Gallus gallus (chicken), 67 nucleotides. The record is from Ensembl. Lineage: Eukaryota; Metazoa; Chordata; Aves; Galliformes; Phasianidae.
GGCUCUGUGCGGCUCUGGGCCCACCCGAGCUCUGUCCCUGCAGAAAUAUUACCCGCCGGACUUCGAU